GGAUGAGAGGGAAGAAGGAGCACCGAGGGUCCACCGAACAUCAGCUCACACUUUCAGACUCUGCUGCUUGUCUCGCGUUACUUCACCAAUCGAUCUGCGUUUCCCUGCAGAGGGGAGCUGACACCACUGGUUCAGCGAGGCUGUACUCCGGGCUACAAAUCUCGCUGGCGUGAACAGAUGGAGCAUCAAUUUGAUCCCAUCCUCGACACCGUGAAAGAUUGAUUUUGCACUUGCUUUUAAUUUUGCCCAUAAUUAAUUGGAUCAUUACAACUGUUUUUUCAUCGAUCCCCGCGUUGGAAACUGUAAAACUAA
Long non-coding RNA from Thunnus maccoyii (southern bluefin tuna), 312 nucleotides. RefSeq lists it as uncharacterized. NCBI's taxonomy places the organism in Eukaryota, Metazoa, Chordata, Actinopteri, Scombriformes, Scombridae. The transcript has 3 exons. The record is from RefSeq and is a predicted model, not a curated record.